Molecule: ribosomal RNA, 413 nt
Filed under: uncultured microorganism
Description: bacterial SSU rRNA
Rfam family: Archaeal small subunit ribosomal RNA
Source: RNAcentral
GCGCAGCAGUCGAGAAACCUCCGCAAUGCUCGAAAGAGCGACGGGGGACUCCAAGUGCCUACGCUUUGCGUAGGCUUUUCCCAAGCCUAAAAAGCUUGGGGAAUAAGGGCUGGGUAAGACGGGUGCCAGCCGCCGCGGUAAUACCCGCAGCCCGAGUGGUGGCCGCUUUUAUUGGGCCUAAAGCGUCCGUAGCCGGUCUGGUAAAUGCCUGGGUAAAUCGUCUGGCUCAACCAGACGAAUUCCGGGUAGACUGCCAGACUAGGGACCGGAGGAAGGAGAGGGUACUCCGGGGGUAGGGGUGGAAAUCCUGUAAUCCUCGGAGGACCACCGGUGGCGAAGGCGCUCUCCUAGGACGGGUCCGACGGUGAGGGACGAAAGCCAGGGGAGCAAACCGGAUUAGAUACCCCGGUAGU